RNAcentral lists this ribosomal RNA (497 nucleotides) under uncultured bacterium. RNAcentral's name for it is "partial 16S ribosomal RNA". It matches the Rfam family "Bacterial small subunit ribosomal RNA", at positions 28 to 507 of the family's 1533-position model. The record is from RNAcentral.
GAUGAACGCUGGCGGCGUGCCUAAUACAUGCAAGUCGAGCGAACAGACGAGGAGCUUGCUCCUCUGACGUUAGCGGCGGACGGGUGAGUAACACGUGGAUAACCUACCUAUAAGACUGGGAUAACUUCGGGAAACCGGAGCCAAUACCGGAUAAUAUAUUGAACCGCAUGGUUCAAUAGUGAAAGACGGUUUUGCUGUCACUUAUAGAUGGAUCCGCGCCGCAUUAGCUAGUUGGUAUGGUAACGGCUUACCAAGGCAACGAUGCGUAGCCGACCUGAGAGGGUGAUCGGCCACACUGGAACUGAGACACGGUCCAGACUCCUACGGGAGGCAGCAGUAGGGAAUCUUCCGCAAUGGGCGAAAGCCUGACGGAGCAACGCCGCGUGAGUGAUGAAGGUCUUCGGAUCGUAAAACUCUGUUAUUAGGGAAGAACAAAUGUGUAAGUAACUAUGCACGUCUUGACGGUACCUAAUCAGAAAGCCACGGCUAACUACGUG